RNAcentral lists this transfer RNA (74 nucleotides) under Marmota monax (woodchuck). RNAcentral's name for it is "tRNA.Ala". The record is from RNAcentral. Lineage: Eukaryota; Metazoa; Chordata; Mammalia; Rodentia; Sciuridae.
UGGGUUGUGGCUCAGCGGUAGAGCACUCACCUAGCACAGGCGAGGCCCUGGGUCCGAUCCUCAGCACCACCUAA